This 433-nucleotide ribosomal RNA is filed under the name uncultured bacterium. RNAcentral describes it as "partial 16S ribosomal RNA". It matches the Rfam family "Bacterial small subunit ribosomal RNA", at positions 29 to 507 of the family's 1533-position model. The record is from RNAcentral.
AGCGAACGCUGGCGGCAGGCCUAACACAUGCCAGUCGAACGGACCCUUCGGGGUUAGUGGCGGACGGGUGAGUAACACGUGGGAACGUGCCUUUAGGUUCGGAAUAGCUCCUGGAAACGGGUGGUAAUGCCGAAUGUGCCCUUCGGGGGAAAGAUUUAUCGCCUUUAGAGCGGCCCGCGUCUGAUUAGCUAGUUGGUGAGGUAACGGCUCACCAAGGCGACGAUCAGUAGCUGGUCUGAGAGGAUGACCAGCCACACUGGGACUGAGACACGGCCCAGACUCCUACGGGAGGCAGCAGUGGGGAAUCUUGCACAAUGGGCGAAAGCCUGACGCAGCCAUGCCGCGUGAAUGAUGAAGGUCUUAGGAUUGUAAAAUUCUUUCACCGGGGACGAUAAUGACGGUACCCGGAGAAGAAGCCCCGGCUAACUUCGUG